CGGCGGACGGGUGAGUAACGCGUGGGUAACCUGCCUCAUACAGGGGGAUAACAGUUGGAAACGGCUGCUAAUACCGCAUAAGCGCACAGUACCGCAUGGUACCGUGUGAAAAACUCCGGUGGUAUGAGAUGGACCCGCGUCUGAUUAGCUAGUUGGUGGGGUAACGGCCUACCAAGACGACGAUCAGUAGCCGACCUGAGAGGGUGACCGGCCACAUUGGGACUGAGACACGGCCCAA
RNAcentral lists this ribosomal RNA (238 nucleotides) under uncultured bacterium. RNAcentral's name for it is "partial 16S ribosomal RNA". It matches the Rfam family "Bacterial small subunit ribosomal RNA", at positions 96 to 334 of the family's 1533-position model. The record is from RNAcentral.